AAGAAAGUCCUUAUUGGUUUCUACCGUGGUUGAGAGAUGGAUAUAUUUCCUAUGGGUAUGCGACGCAUGGGAUGUGUAAUGAUUCUUCUUCUAGAUAGGUUUGACGGAAGGUUUUUGCUAGAUGAGUACUGUUCAGUUCUAGAAAGAAGUUAGUGAAACUCUAUGCAACGGGCAGCCUCAGAUGACCAAAUAAAUGAUACUGCUAAUUGGAAGUGAUUUGACAAAAGUAUACGUCUCAGGAGAGGGUAAUAUGAUUAAACUGAUGAUACUUCGGUAGUAUUAUAGCACUUUCUUGCUAAACCGACUGCUGAUAUCUGAGUUUGUUUGAUGGCAUAGGAGAAUUGUAGAAUAUCUUUCGUCGAAUGAUUGGGUACUCAAGGUGUAAUAUGUAUUCAUACUACAGAUUUUGGGAUCAGGUACUGUGAUUCGUGUGCUAUAUGGAGUUAGAGACUGGGAAUUCUCAGGUCAUACUGUGUAGCGGUUAUGGAUCAUCUGAUUGGCACCGUUAUCGGCUAUUGGGAUUUGGAAGCCCGAGUGGAUCUUCUUUGCUUGGUAUAUUAGAUUCUGGAUAUGAUAUUAGGAUGUAGACUGGUUGUCUCAGUGUUGGGUUAUUGUAGACUAUUGUGCUAUGGGUUAUUGUAAGCACGUGAUUUUUGCUUCACAAGAAUUAC
This 671-nucleotide long non-coding RNA is filed under the name Nicotiana benthamiana. RNAcentral's name for it is "long non-coding RNA (NBEN_LNC027028)". Lineage: Eukaryota; Viridiplantae; Streptophyta; Magnoliopsida; Solanales; Solanaceae. The record is from RNAcentral.